GCAGCCCGAGUGGUGAUCACUAUUAUUGGGUCUAAAGGGUCCGUAGCCGGUUUAAUCAGUCUUCUGGGAAAUCUAAUCGCUUAACUAUUAGGCUUCCAGGGGAUACUGUUAGACUUGGGACCGGGAGAGGUAAGAGGUACUGCAGGGGUAGGAGUGAAAUCUUGUAAUCCCUGUGAGACCACCAGUGGCGAAGGCGUCUUACCAGAACGGGUCCGACGGUGAGGGACGAAAGCUGGGGGCACGAACCGGAUUAGAUACCCGGGUAGUCCCAGCUGUAAACGAUGCUCGUUAGGUGUCAGGAACGGUGCGACUGUUUCUGGUGCCGAAGGGAAGCCGUGAAACGAGCCACCUGGGAAGUACGGCCGCAAGGCUGAAACUUAAAGGAAUUGGCGGGGGAGCACUACAACGGGUGGAGCCUGCGGUUUAAUUGGACUCAACGCCGGAAAACUCACCGGGGGCGACAGCAAUAUGUAGGUCAGGUUAAAGGUCUUACCUGAAUCGCUGAGAGGAGGUGCAUGGCCGUCGUCAGUUCGUACUGUGAAGCAUCCUGUUAAGUCAGGCAACGAGCAAGACCCGUGCCCACUGUUACCAGCAUAUCCUUUAUGGAUGAUGGGGACUCUGUGGGGACCGCUGCUGCUAAAGCAGAGGAAGGUGCGGGCUACGGUAGGUCAGUAUGCCCCGAAUCUCCCGGGCUACACGCGGGCUACAAUGGUUGGGACAAUGGGUAUCUACUCCGAGAGGAGUUGGCAAUCUCUUAAACCCAAUCGUAGUUCGAAUUGAGGGCUGUAACUCGCCACUCAUGAAGCAU
Molecule: ribosomal RNA, 808 nt
Filed under: uncultured archaeon
Lineage: Archaea
Description: bacterial SSU rRNA
Rfam family: Archaeal small subunit ribosomal RNA
Source: RNAcentral